Molecule: ribosomal RNA, 484 nt
Filed under: uncultured bacterium
Lineage: Bacteria
Description: partial 16S ribosomal RNA
Rfam family: Bacterial small subunit ribosomal RNA
Source: RNAcentral
AGUGAACGCUGGCGGCGUGCUUAACACAUGCAAGUCGAACGAGAACGGAUUAUAGCUUGCUAUAAUUGUCAGCUAAGUGGCGCACGGGUGAGUAAUGUAUAGGUAAUAUGCCUCUUACUAAGGGAUAACAAAUGGAAACGUUUGCUAAUACCUUAUACUCCUUAUUAACAGAAGUUAAUAAGGGAAAGAUUUAUUGGUAAGAGAUUAGCCUGUAUUGUAUCAGUUAGUUGGUGGGGUAAUGGCUUACCAAGACUAUGACACAUAACUGGUUUGAGAGGAUGAUCAGUCACACUGGAACUGAGACACGGUCCAGACUCCUACGGAAGGCAGCAGUGGGGAAUAUUGCACAAUGGACGAAAGUCUGAUGCAGCAACGCCGCGUGGAGGAUGACACAUUUCGGUGCGUAAACUCCUUUUAUAUGAGAAGAUAAUGACGGUAUUAUAUGAAUAAGCACCGGCUAAUUCCGUGCCAGCCGCCGCUGUAA